This is a regulatory RNA element of 97 nucleotides. It matches the Rfam family "THF (Tetrahydrofolate) riboswitch aptamer". From Rfam's summary of the family: THF riboswitch presents a pseudoknot that joins P1-P2 and the loop of P3 and two THF binding. The record is from Rfam.
UCUGGAGUAGGAAAUAAAGCGUUAAGUGUCAGUGGAACGGAAUGUGAACACUGAACGAAAAGCCUGAGCUUGCGGUUUUAUUUCCGCAUUCGCCACG